UGGGGCGUCGCCAAGUCAGGCAAGGCACCGGUCUUUGGAUCCGGUAUUCGCAGGUUCGAAUCCUGCCGCCCCAGCCA
This 77-nucleotide transfer RNA is filed under the name Acidobacteriota bacterium. RNAcentral's name for it is "Acidobacteria bacterium (sponge metagenome) tRNA-Gln". It matches the Rfam family "tRNA". Rfam says of the family: Transfer RNA (tRNA) molecules are approximately 80 nucleotides in length. Their secondary structure includes four short double-helical elements and three loops (D, anti-codon, and T loops). Lineage: Bacteria; Pseudomonadati; Acidobacteriota. The record is from RNAcentral.